GACGAACGCUGGCGGCGUGCCUAAUACAUGCAAGUAGAACGCUGAAGCGAGGAGCUUGCUCUUCUUGGAUGAGUUGCGAACGGGUGAGUAACGCGUAGGUAACCUGCCUUGUAGUGGGGGAUAAUUAUUGGAAACGAUAUCUACUACUGCAUAAUACUGGCUGACACAUGUCAUUUAUUUGCAAGGGGCAUUUGCUCCACUACAAGAUGGACCUGCGUUGUAUUAGUUAGUAGGUGAGGUAAUAGCUCACCUAGGCGACGAUACAUAGUCGACCUGAGUGGGUGAAUGAGCAAACUUGGACUGGGGCACGGCCCAGACCCCUUAGGGGAGCAAGAGUAGGGGAUUUUCGGCAAUGGGGGGAACCCUGACCGAACAACGCCGGGUGAGGGAAGAAGGUUUUCGGAGCGUAAAGCUCUUUUUUUAGUCAAGAACAAGUGGGAGAGUGGAAAGUUCACGCUGUGACGGUAGCUUACCAGAAAGCGACGGCUAACUACGUG
This 497-nucleotide ribosomal RNA is filed under the name uncultured bacterium. Its description in RNAcentral is "partial 16S ribosomal RNA". It matches the Rfam family "Bacterial small subunit ribosomal RNA", at positions 28 to 507 of the family's 1533-position model. The record is from RNAcentral.